UACGGGGGGAGCAAGCGUUGUUCGGAUUUACUGGGCGUAAAGGGCGCGUAGGCGGCCAGCGCAAGUCAGUUGUGAAAUCUCCGAGCUUAACUCGGAAAGGUCAACUGAUACUGCGCGGCUAGAGUGCGGAAGGGGCAACUGGAAUUCUUGGUGUAGCGGUGAAAUGCGUAGAUAUCAAGAGGAACACCUGCGGCGAAGGCGGGUUGCUGGGCCGACACUGACGCUGAUGCGCGAAAGCUAGGGGAGCAAACGGG
This 254-nucleotide ribosomal RNA is filed under the name uncultured bacterium. RNAcentral describes it as "partial 16S ribosomal RNA". It matches the Rfam family "Bacterial small subunit ribosomal RNA", at positions 524 to 776 of the family's 1533-position model. The record is from RNAcentral.